AAAUUGAAGAGUUUGAUCAUGGCUCAGAUUGAACGCUGGCGGCAGGCCUAACACAUGCAAGUCGAGCGGUAGCACAGAGAGCUUGCUCUCGGGUGACGAGCGGCGGACGGGUGAGUAAUGUCUGGGAAACUGCCUGAUGGAGGGGGAUAACUACUGGAAACGGUAGCUAAUACCGCAUAACGUCGCAAGACCAAAGUGGGGGACCUUCGGGCCUCAUGCCAUCAGAUGUGCCCAGAUGGGAUUAGCUAGUAGGUGGGGUAACGGCUCACCUAGGCGACGAUCCCUAGCUGGUCUGAGAGGAUGACCAGCCACACUGGAACUGAGACACGGUCCAGACUCCUACGGGAGGCAGCAGUGGGGAAUAUUGCACAAUGGGCGCAAGCCUGAUGCAGCCAUGCCGCGUGUGUGAAGAAGGCCUUCGGGUUGUAAAGCACUUUCAGCGGGGAGGAAGGCGAUAAGGUUAAUAACCUUGUCGAUUGACGUUACCCGCAGAAGAAGCACCGGCUAACUCCGUGCCAGCAGCCGCGGUAAUACGGAGGGUGCAAGCGUUAAUCGGAAUUACUGGGCGUAAAGCGCACGCAGGCGGUCUGUCAAGUCGGAUGUGAAAUCCCCGGGCUUAACCUGGGAACUGCAUUCGAAACUGGCAGGCUAGAGUCUUGUAGAGGGGGGUAGAAUUCCAGGUGUAGCGGUGAAAUGCGUAGAGAUCUGGAGGAAUACCGGUGGCGAAGGCGGCCCCCUGGACAAAGACUGACGCUCAGGUGCGAAAGCGUGGGGAGCAAACAGGAUUAGAUACCCUGGUAGUCCACGCCGUAAACGAUGUCGAUUUGGAGGUUGUGCCCUUGAGGCGUGGCUUCCGGAGCUAACGCGUUAAAUCGACCGCCUGGGGAGUACGGCCGCAAGGUUAAAACUCAAAUGAAUUGACGGGGGCCCGCACAAGCGGUGGAGCAUGUGGUUUAAUUCGAUGCAACGCGAAGAACCUUACCUGGUCUUGACAUCCACAGAACUUAGCAGAGAUGCUUUGGUGCCUUCGGGAACUGUGAGACAGGUGCUGCAUGGCUGUCGUCAGCUCGUGUUGUGAAAUGUUGGGUUAAGUCCCGCAACGAGCGCAACCCUUAUCCUUUGUUGCCAGCGGUUAGGCCGGGAACUCAAAGGAGACUGCCAGUGAUAAACUGGAGGAAGGUGGGGAUGACGUCAAGUCAUCAUGGCCCUUACGACCAGGGCUACACACGUGCUACAAUGGCAUAUACAAAGAGAAGCGACCUCGCGAGAGCAAGCGGACCUCAUAAAGUAUGUCGUAGUCCGGAUUGGAGUCUGCAACUCGACUCCAUGAAGUCGGAAUCGCUAGUAAUCGUAGAUCAGAAUGCUACGGUGAAUACGUUCCCGGGCCUUGUACACACCGCCCGUCACACCAUGGGAGUGGGUUGCAAAAGAAGUAGGUAGCUUAACCUUCGGGAGGGCGCUUACCACUUUGUGAUUCAUGACUGGGGUGAAGUCGUAACAAGGUAACCGUAGGGGAACCUGCGGUUGGAUCACCUCCUUACCUUAAAGAA
RNAcentral lists this ribosomal RNA (1550 nucleotides) under Klebsiella pneumoniae. Its description in RNAcentral is "bacterial SSU rRNA". It matches the Rfam family "Bacterial small subunit ribosomal RNA". The record is from RNAcentral. Lineage: Bacteria; Pseudomonadati; Pseudomonadota; Gammaproteobacteria; Enterobacterales; Enterobacteriaceae.